Molecule: ribosomal RNA, 253 nt
Filed under: uncultured bacterium
Lineage: Bacteria
Description: partial 16S ribosomal RNA
Rfam family: Bacterial small subunit ribosomal RNA
Source: RNAcentral
UACAGAGGGUGCGAGCGUUAAUCGGAAUUACUGGGCGUAAAGCGUGCGUAGACGGUAGCGUAAGUCAGAUGCGAAAGCCCCGGGCUCAACCUGGGAAUUGCAUUUGAGACUGCUCUGCUCGGGUGCGGAAGAGGGAAGCGGAAUUUCCGGUGUAGCGGUGAAAUGCGUAGAUAUCGGAAGGAACACCAGUGGCGAAAGCGGCUUCCUGGUCCGACACCGACGUUCAGGCACGAAAGCGUGGGGAGCAAACAGG